RNAcentral lists this ribosomal RNA (406 nucleotides) under uncultured bacterium. RNAcentral's name for it is "partial 16S ribosomal RNA". It matches the Rfam family "Bacterial small subunit ribosomal RNA", at positions 30 to 526 of the family's 1533-position model. The record is from RNAcentral.
AUUGAACGCUGGCGGCAGGCCUAACACAUGCAAGUCGAACGAGUGGCGGACGGGUGAGUAAUGUCUGGGAAACUGCCUGAUGGAGGGGGAUAACUACUGGAAACGGUAGCUCAUACCGCAUACCAUCGGAUGUGCCCAGAUGGGAUUAGCUAGUAGGUGGGGUAAAGGCUCACCUAGGCGAGUAUCCCUAGCUGGUCUGAGAGGAUGAUCAGACAAACUGGAAAGGAGACACGGUCCAGACUCCUACGGGAGGCAGUAGUGGGGAAUAGUGGAAAAUGGGCGCAAGCCUGAUGCAGCCAUGCCGCGGGUAUUAAGAAGGCCUUCGGGUUGUAAAGUACUUUUAGAGGGGAGGCGUUACCCGCAGAAGAAGCACCGGCUAACUCCGUGCCAGCAGCCGCGGUAAUAC